CCGGUGUCAUGGCGUCCAUUGCAAGGCCAGGGCAAAAAAGGGAGCAGUAGAUGCUUGCUUGACCACUAUUUUUUGCUUCUAUUCUCCGUGGACUGCUUAGAAAGAACCUGGGAGAUCUCCAAACUGCACAAUGGAGGUGGUGACCUUUGAGGAUGUGGUCAUGAACUUCAGCAAUGAGGAGUGGGGUUUGCUGAGUCCAUCCCAAAAGAACCUCUACAGAGAUGUGAUGGGCGAAACCUUUAGGAACGUGACUACAAUAGAAAUGACAAGCUAGGGAAAUCCUAUGGACAUACAUCUUGGAAUCAGUGUAAAGAAGUAUUCCCUUGUACUGCAGAAGCUUCAAGUGUUGUUCCAAGUGAGGGAGCAAGUUCACCCAGAUUGGAUGGGAUUCCAGGCCUCGGCUGAACUUGCUGGCAAGGUAGGGAGUUUCCCCAGACUGGAAUUGGAAUCUGUUCCUCUGCCCCACUCGCUGGUCCCAGCAAGAAUCUGCGGGCUCAUCCCCAGGUGAGGAAGAGAGUUUCCCCAGACUGAAAAAGGAUUCUGUGCCUUGGCCUGACUCCCUGGUUCUGACUCACUGGUCCCAACUCACUGUUCCCAGUGGGCAACCACCUGGUCCCCAGGUGAGGAAGAGAGUUCCUCCAGACUGGGAUGGGAUUCUGUGCCUUGGCCUGACUCGCUGGUCCUGGCAGGAAACCACGGGUUCUACAUCAGGUUUGAUUAUUAACUGCUUUCACAUCCUACAACGUCUUCAAAGUUGUGUUUUUAUAAAAAUAGCUAUAUAAUGUUAUGCUUUAUUAUAUAGUCCCUGAUGAUGUGGACAAUUCUAUUGAAAAUAACAAGAGAAAGCAUAAUAAAUACUGUAUAUCACCUAAUAUUGUGGCCUUAUAUGUCUCUCUCAUAUCAUGAUUUUCUAGGAAUUUGUUUUGUUGUCUUAUUUUGAUCUGUUUUUCCCCAUAACACAGAAAGGAUAGAUAUACACAUAGAGAUUCACACAUGGGAAGAAUUUAUAACCUAUUUAUUGGAUCCAAUAAUAUAAUACAUAAUGUAAUGAAGAGAUACUCUGAAGAAGAAGUGACACUAAGAAACCCAAUGCUAUUUAUGUAGAAUUAUGAUAUAAAAUUGAGCAAUACUAUUAUUCACUGUUCAGAGUGAUAUUAGUCUAGUCUCUUAUUUUUUGGGGGGAAUUGUAAUUUUAAUAUGGCUUUGUUUUAAUCUUUUGAUGCACAUGCUUCAUUUUCUCUUUCAUAAAUGAUUUUUCUGAAGUUGAUGCAAUAUUUGGCAUUAAGAUAUACAUUUGUUGAGGCUUGAAGUACGUGUUUUUGACAAAGUUGUGUUCUUUUCACAUAACUUGUACAUUAAUGAAUGUUAUGUUUUCCAAGUUGUGAUAAGAGAUCUGCUGAUUUCCUAGCAUCACUGGAUAUCAUAUCAUGUAAAUUAUGUUGUCUGAUUUUGUUUCUCAGUGGAGCCAAUAUUGGUCAUUUAAGUAAACCUUUGUUUUUCUAACCAUCAGAAUUUUACUUGUUAUGUUUAUAUUACAUCUUUAUUUGCUAUUAAGGUUUCCCCACAUGUACCAAAUGUAAA
Cavia porcellus (domestic guinea pig) is the source of this 1581-nucleotide long non-coding RNA. RefSeq lists it as uncharacterized. The transcript is spliced from 4 exons. NCBI's taxonomy places the organism in Eukaryota, Metazoa, Chordata, Mammalia, Rodentia, Caviidae. The record is from RefSeq and is a predicted model, not a curated record.